UAAAGUGGACUUUUAACCACAAACUUCCGGAGGAAGUUGUGUUUUACUCUAUUUUCUCAAGAUAAGAAAAUAAUAUCGGUAAAGUUGUUAUUGAUAGUCAUUAAAAUGAAAAUUGGACGAAAAAGUGAGAAAAAGUGCAAGUUAGCUCAAAAUGGAAAUUUGAGCGUUUUUGGCCAAAAUUGCCAAAAUAAAUUGUUGGAGGGUGAUAUUAUAAGGUAUGAUACUAUUGUUAUUUAUUUGGGAAAUAAAUAAUACGGAAUUUAUCGAGAAUCGAAUGAUUAAAGGAUUAGUGGACUAAAUUGGACGAAAUAAAAGUUAUAAAGUGAAAGUUGAGGAGGUGACAAACUCAAGGACUAAAGGAGACUUUUGCCUCACCUAUUUAAGACACUUGCAUAUGAGUUUAAACUCAGCAAGCAUAUCAUUUUCAGCUCCUAAAAUUCGUCCUUCACCCUUUCUCCAUGGAAGAACAUCAAGCAAAUUUCAAAUGGUCAUAACUCACUCAAUUUUGAUCCGAAUUGAGCGAUUCUUGUGGCCACGGAACGAGGGAAGGAUCCUCUACUGAUAUAUAGUAUCAAUUUAAGGUUAUUGAAAGCUUGAAGGGAGUAUUUUGAUGGUUGUUCAUGGAGGAAUUCAUUCAACCAAAGGGUUAUCCCAUCUAGAAAAGGUAUAAAUUCAGAAUUUUGGACUUUUGGUAAUGAAUUGAUUGAAUUGAGUGGAGUAUUGGUUAAGUUUGAAGUUGGAUUUUCUGGUUUGGUGUUGAA
Molecule: long non-coding RNA, 761 nt
Organism: Mercurialis annua (annual mercury)
Lineage: Eukaryota; Viridiplantae; Streptophyta; Magnoliopsida; Malpighiales; Euphorbiaceae
Exons: 2
Source: RefSeq, a predicted model, not a curated record